CGUGAUUAAUACACUAUACAUUGACUGGGUUAUUCCAAUUGGUAAUUUUUAUAUAGAAUCCCCCUGGUUCAGUAUUAUACAGUUCAGUUUGUCUUUAGUAAGUUCCUACGGGAAGAAAGUUGUCAUACAAUAAAAGCACAAGGAGAAUGGCCACCGCUAUAUCAACCGUUACCAACAAUACCUACAUGUAUAAUAUACAUGGUGAUUGUCAAGCUGUACAGAUUGGAACAUCAAACACAAUAAGUGAAAGUAGUAACCCGACUGAAAUGAACGAACUCACUUACGAGUUCGAAGACAUCAGGUUCCAAAUGAACCGGGUAACUGAAGAGAUGGAUGAAAAAUUCGAAAGAAAAGAUGAAGAAAUAGCUGAAUUAAAAGACAGGGUGGCUGACCUGGAAGCAUUUAAGAAGAAAGUAGAACAAUCAGAAGUUACAACAAACACCAGCACUAAUACUAGGAAUUAUAAGAUAAAUACGAGUGAUGAUAUUACUCUACUGGUGUUUUACACAUAUGGAUGUAAAGAUAUGGGUACUAUAACUGUCAGUAAGAAAGUUAGUGUUAAUGAUUUAAAGAAGUUGAUAAAAAAGAAGAAGAAUGUGAAGAAGAUUAGAAGGAUUGGCAUAGUGAGAUAUAGAGAUGGGAGUGGGGCACGCAUCUACAACAGUGGUAACAGCAAGAAGACUGACUAUAGCCUGGAACAACUUGGUGUUGUAGACCAGGACAUGGUGGCUUACUGUUGAUGGUAUAAUAUAGUGAUUAUUUUGAUAUGAUGUUUUAAUGGGUUCCACACCUUUCCUUUUGUUUUGUGUGGUAGUGUAUAUUUGUAUUUAUUGUAUCUUGAGUAUUUGUUGUAUUAUUGCCCCUUUAAUAUAUUGGUUAUUUAUGGUAUAUUUGGUGUUUGUUGCAUUGUCCCUUUAAUAAUACAUAUCUAAGCUGGUCAACAAUGUCUUUACAAUAGCAAGUCUAAACUCUACUAGCUUUUAAUUAAUAACCACAUCUCAGCUUCUCUUUCAAUUUGUACUUGCAUCUUAACCUUGUUACAAGGAGGAUCACAUUCUGUCACUUGGUAAGUUUUAUAUUUAUUUGACUGACUUUACUAUUUUAUCUAUUUAAUAUGGAAAUGUAAUUAGAAUAUAUUUUAUAUAUGAAAUAAUUAAGUUAUUAGUAUAUUUCUAUAAGUAUUUCUAGAAUUAUAUUUGUGCAUUUCUAGAAUAUUAUACUUAGUUUAAUCCAUCAUAGUGUUAAUUUCAGUCUUGUAUUACCGUGUUUUUAUAGUAGCCAUAUUAAAAUAAUCAGCCCUUUUAUAAACUCUAUUUUAUAGGGUAUGUAUAUGUAUUUGUAUGUAAUUAUAUUAGUGAAGAACUCAUUGUAAAUAUAAGGGGGGGGGGGGUAGCACGCGCGUGCUGUAUCAUACGGCCUGUCAUUGAGUCAACUGGCGUGGUUUCGAAUCCCCGGUUGUACGUGAGAAGGAGUAGGGUGGCCUGUCCAAUCUCGUGGGUUUUCUCCGGGUCCUCUGGUUUUCUCCCACUGCUAAAGACCCCUACGCGCAAGCGAAUUAUUGAAAUAAAAUUAAACCAUGUUAGUCCCGAAAUGACCUAUGUUUGUAUCGAGUGGACGUUAAACCCCAUUUCUCUCUCUCUCAUUGUAAAUAUCUUAUUCAUUCCUUUGUUUCCGAUUAAUGAACUUCCCGCCAGAACUUGAAAUAAAUGUAUAUAAUGUAAAUGAUUAUUUUUGAUAUUUAUACAUUCCUUUAUGUUUUUCAGCGGUUUCUUUUAUCUGUAUUAUAUACUUAUUGACAAUUCCACAAUAAAAUAGUGA
Molecule: long non-coding RNA, 1818 nt
Organism: Patella vulgata (common limpet)
Lineage: Eukaryota; Metazoa; Mollusca; Gastropoda; Patellidae
Exons: 3
Source: RefSeq, a predicted model, not a curated record